RNAcentral lists this long non-coding RNA (442 nucleotides) under Eucalyptus grandis. Its description in RNAcentral is "long non-coding RNA (EGRA_LNC003446)". Lineage: Eukaryota; Viridiplantae; Streptophyta; Magnoliopsida; Myrtales; Myrtaceae. The record is from RNAcentral.
GAGGAAGCCAUGGCCGACCGCUCGACGCUCGGUUUCGCCCACUGACUUCUCUACAUAUACCGAAUAGAACCCCUGGCCCAAAACUACGACUACGCAACAGAAAAGGGUAAAAACUGAUUUUUGAGUAAGAGGCUAUAACGGCCGAGGCCAAGGGAUUAUUUGUACAGUAUAAGGUGGUGGUGGUGGUGGUGGUGGCGGCGGCGGUGGGGACGGCGGUGGUGGUGGAGGCAGCGCCUCACCUCUCAGGGAAUUGAGAGAGAACGAGAGGAGGUAGGGCGAGAUGGCCGUAUUUAUAUCGUGGCGGAGCGUUUUGAGUGUGGAAGAGAGGGGAUAGGGAUGACCGGGGGGAGCCGGUUGCGGUGACCGGUGAUGAGCCGUUGGGGGGUGGGAUGCUUCCAGGCAGGGGAGGGGGCAGUUACUUAGCGGUACAGCUGUCGUCGGG